AAAAAAAACAAACCCUGGUUUCCAUGCCCAAUAUUUGACUGCCCGUCUUAUUUGAAAAAAAUAUGAAAAAAAAUAAAAAGGCAAGUCACGUAUAAAAUAUUAAUCAUGUUUUAUCAUCUAACGACAAUGAAAAUACGAAUUAUAAAAAAAAUUUCAUAUAAAACGGAUAGUCAAAGUUGAACACGAAAGCCCAUGGUUUAUCUUUUU
Oryza nivara is the source of this 207-nucleotide non-coding RNA. The record is from Rfam. NCBI's taxonomy places the organism in Eukaryota, Viridiplantae, Streptophyta, Magnoliopsida, Poales, Poaceae.